CAAGUCGAGCGGAUGAUGGGAGCUUGCUCCUGGAUUCAGCGGCGGACGGGUGAGUAAUGCCUAGGAAUCUGCCUGGUAGUGGGGGACAACGUUUCGAAAGGAACGCUAAUACCGCAUACGUCCUACGGGAGAAAGCAGGGGACCUUCGGGCCUUGCGCUAUCAGAUGAGCCUAGGUCGGAUUAGCUUGUUGGUGAGGUAAUGGCUCACCAAGGCGACGAUCCGUAACUGGUCUGAGAGGAUGAUCAGUCACACUGGAACUGAGACACGGUCCAGACUCCUACGGGAGGCAGCAGUGGGGAAUAUUGGACAAUGGGCGAAAGCCUGAUCCAGCCAUGCCGCGUGUGUGAAGAAGGUCUUCGGAUUGUAAAGCACUUUAAGUUGGGAGGAAGGGUUGUAGAUUAAUACUCUGCAAUUUUGACGUUACCGACAGAAUAAGCACCGGCUAACUCUGUGCCAGCAGCCGCGGUAAUACAGAGGGUGCAAGCGUUAAUCGGAAUUACUGGGCGUAAAGCGCGCGUAGGUGGUUUGUUAAGUUGGAUGUGAAAGCCCCGGGCUCAACCUGGGAACUGCAUCCAAAACUGGCAAGCUAGAGUACGGUAGAGGGUGGUGGAAUUUCCUGUGUAGCGGUGAAAUGCGUAGAUAUAGGAAGGAACACCAGUGGCGAAGGCGACCACCUGGACUGAUACUGACACUGAGGUGCGAAAGCGUGGGGAGCAAACAGGAUUAGAUACCCUGGUAGUCCACGCCGUAAACGAUGUCAACUAGCCGUUGGAAUCCUUGAGAUUUUAGUGGCGCAGCUAACGCAUUAAGUUGACCGCCUGGGGAGUACGGCCGCAAGGUUAAAAACUCAAAUGAAUUGACGGGG
This 866-nucleotide ribosomal RNA is filed under the name Pseudomonas fulva. RNAcentral describes it as "bacterial SSU rRNA". It matches the Rfam family "Bacterial small subunit ribosomal RNA", at positions 58 to 918 of the family's 1533-position model. The record is from RNAcentral. Lineage: Bacteria; Pseudomonadati; Pseudomonadota; Gammaproteobacteria; Pseudomonadales; Pseudomonadaceae.